GACGGACGCUGGCGGCGUGCUUAACACAUGCAAGUCGAACGGAAAGGCCCUGCUUUUGUGGGGUGCUCGAGUGGCGAACGGGUGAGUAACACGUGAGUAACCUGCCCUUGACUUUGGGAUAACUUCAGGAAACUGGGGCUAAUACCGGAUAGGAGCUCCUGCUGCAUAGUGGGGGUUGGAAAGUUUCGGCGGUUGGGGAUGGACUCGCGGCUUAUCAGCUUGUUGGUGGGGUAGUGGCUUACCAAGGCUUUGACGGGUAGCCGGCCUGAGAGGGUGACCGGCCACAUUGGGACUGAGAUACGGCCCAGACUCCUACGGGAGGCAGCAGUGGGGAAUAUUGCACAAUGGGCGGAAGCCUGAUGCAGCAACGCCGCGUGCGGGAUGACGGCCUUCGGGUUGUAAACCGCUUUCGCCUGUGACGAAGCGUGAGUGACGGUAAUGGGUAAAGAAGCACCGGCUAACUACGUG
This 468-nucleotide ribosomal RNA is filed under the name uncultured bacterium. RNAcentral describes it as "partial 16S ribosomal RNA". It matches the Rfam family "Bacterial small subunit ribosomal RNA", at positions 28 to 507 of the family's 1533-position model. The record is from RNAcentral.